RNAcentral lists this unclassified non-coding RNA (241 nucleotides) under Heteroplacidium compactum. Its description in RNAcentral is "partial contains 5.8S ribosomal RNA, internal transcribed spacer 2, and large subunit ribosomal RNA". The record is from RNAcentral. Lineage: Eukaryota; Fungi; Ascomycota; Eurotiomycetes; Verrucariales; Verrucariaceae.
CGCACAUUGCGCCCUCUGGCAUUCCGGAGGGCAUGCCUGUCCGAGCGUCAUUAUCACUCCUCGAGCCCAGCUCGGCGUUGGGGCUCGUCGGUCGCGCACCGGCGGUCCCUAAAUCCAGUGGUGACCCUCCCGUGCCCCGCGUGCAGUAACCUGUUCUCGCGAGGGGGCCUCGGGCUGGGACCGCCAGUACACCCUACGCUCAGUUGACCUCGGAUCAGGUAGGACUACCCGCUGAACUUAA